Molecule: microRNA precursor, 91 nt
Filed under: Canis lupus familiaris (dog)
Lineage: Eukaryota; Metazoa; Chordata; Mammalia; Carnivora; Canidae
Also listed under: 1 other name
Description: mir-8799 microRNA precursor family
Rfam family: mir-8799 microRNA precursor family
Source: Rfam by way of RNAcentral
AGGGGCAGGCCGGAUCCUGGGCUGUGUCCCCAACGCCCUGUGCUCCUGGGCCUGUGCUGUUGGAUUCGUGCUCUCCACCGGGCAGCCCCCU